UGGCUCAGGAACCGAACGCUGGCGGCAGGCCUAACACAUGCAAGUCGAACGGUAACAGGAAGCAGCUUGCUUCUUUGCUGACGAGUGGCGGACGGGUGAGUAAUGUCUGGGAAACUGCCUGAUGGAGGGGGAUAACUACUGGAAACGGUAGCUAAUACCGCAUAACGUCGCAAGACCAAAGAGGGGGACCUUCGGGCCUCUUGCCAUCGGAUGUGCCCAGAUGGGAUUAGCUAGUAGGUGGGGUAACGGCUCACCUAGGCGACGAUCCCUAGCUGGUCUGAGAGGAUGACCAGCCACACUGAACUCAGACACGGUCC
Molecule: ribosomal RNA, 317 nt
Filed under: Escherichia coli
Lineage: Bacteria; Pseudomonadati; Pseudomonadota; Gammaproteobacteria; Enterobacterales; Enterobacteriaceae
Description: bacterial SSU rRNA
Rfam family: Bacterial small subunit ribosomal RNA
Source: RNAcentral